GAUGAACGCUGGCGGUAUGCCUAACACAUGCAAGUCGUACGAGAGUUUUUAACUCUAGUGGCGGACGGGUGAGUAACACGUGAGAAUUUGCCUUUAGGAGGGGGACAACAAUCGGAAACGAAUGCUAAUACCCCAUAUGCUUUCGAGUGAAAUGGAUUUUAUCCGCCUAGAGAGAAGCUCGCGGCUGAUUAGCUUGUUGGUAAGGUAAGAGCUUACCAAGGCGACGAUCAGUAUCUGGUUUGAGAGGACGAUCAGACACACUGGAACUGAGACACGGUCCAGACUCCUACGGGAGGCAGCAGUGGGGAAUUUUCCGCAAUGGGCGAAAGCCUGACGGAGCAAUACCGCGUGAGGGAAGAAUGCCUAUGGGUUGUAAACCUCUUUUUUCAGGGAGGAAAAAAUAGACGUGUACCUGAAGAAUAAGCAUCGGCUAACUCCGUGCCAGCAGCCGCGGUAAUGUGACUACUG
RNAcentral lists this ribosomal RNA (468 nucleotides) under uncultured bacterium. RNAcentral's name for it is "bacterial SSU rRNA". It matches the Rfam family "Bacterial small subunit ribosomal RNA", at positions 28 to 534 of the family's 1533-position model. The record is from RNAcentral.